Molecule: ribosomal RNA, 318 nt
Filed under: Scyphosphaera apsteinii
Lineage: Eukaryota; Haptophyta; Coccosphaerales; Pontosphaeraceae
Description: partial Bacterial large subunit ribosomal RNA
Rfam family: Bacterial large subunit ribosomal RNA
Source: RNAcentral
GUGGGAGACGUUGAUCUGGCUUCGCUAGGAGUUAGUUAGUCGUCCUUGAAAUACCACCCUUUAUUUGCUUGAAUUCUAAUCCGCCAAGGGCGGAGACAUUGCGUGGUGGGUAGUUUGACUGGGGUGGUCGCCUCCAAAAGAGUAUCGGAGGCUUCUAAAGGUUCCCUCAGCACGCUUGGUAACCGUGCGUAGAGUGCAAUGGCACAAGGGAGCUUGACUGUGAGACCGACAAGUCGAGCAGGUACGAAAGUAGAGCAUAGUGAUCCGGUGGUUCCGCAUGGAAGGGCCAUCGCUCAAAGGAUAAAAGGUACGCCGGGG